GUGGGACUAAUUCUCACCAAUGGAAUGUGUGUGGAAAUAAUGCGUCUCCUUCAGGCUGAGGCAGUUAAGAGACAAGGACUAUUGGGGGCCAUCUCUGAGGCUGGCUAUCACAGAGACCAUAAGAUAUUCAGCAACGUGAUAGACUCAGUUUGCCUGUGUAAUUUAUAGAGGACAUGAAGACAAAUUUCAGGUUGCUGUUUUGUUGUAUAAUUCCCUGAAAUUAUCUUGUUUAUUGGGUCUUUCCUGCCUUACUAGAAUAUCAGCUUCCUGAGAGUGUAAAGCUCAUGUCUGUUCUGCUGUCUGCUGUUUCCCUGGUGCCUGACACAGUGACUGCCACAUAAGAAGAGCCCCUAAAAUAGUGAAAUAAAUGAAGAAUCACAUAAGUGAAAUCCUCUUGGUACCUGAGUAUGGACAAAGCUGGAAAACAGUGAUGGAGUUUUCCAUAGCAGCAUCCUAAGAAGACACCCUUGAGCGGUUGAGAACGCAUUUUGAGGACAUCAGCAAACACAGCCUAAGAGGGGCUUAAAUGGUGAUAUCACCUGGGCUUGCUUUCUCAGACUGCCAGCUCCAUGACAGCAAGAACCUUGUAUGACUUUUUCAUGAUGGAUGUUCAUCUGUGCCAUCUGUAAAUAUUUAAUAAAUAUUUGUGGAAUACAUGAAUCCAAAAGUGAAUGGAAUGAUAAAGAGGGAAAGGAUCAUGACAUCUACUACAGCAUUUGGCACAGACCCAGGUUUCCCUGGUACUGGUAAUUCCCAGCAGCUUUCUACAAUUCCAAAGUUGUCUGCAGUACUAUCAAGAGAUGACAUGGACUUCAAGGAUCAAACAGGGGAGAAAAAGGCUUAAAAGAAAAACAAGUCUCCAUCAAAGGCACAAGAAACCAAAUCUUUACUGAGUGUGGUGGAAGAAUGCCCAGGUGAGCACAGGCACAGUGCCAGGUGCUGCAGAGGACCUGAGACAAACAGUCACUGCGCCCUGAGAGAGUUUAGAAUCCAGCACUGAGGAGAAGAGAAGUCAUGGGGAGCACAGUCCUCCUGACAUCUUAAUCUAUCUGCCAAUGCUACAUGCCAUCAAGCCAAGGAAGAAUUUCCUUCUCACUGUUGCUUCUCUGACCAAGGAAGACAUAAGCACAACCAAUCACCAGACUGAUGAAAUUCCUUCCAGUUUCAGAAAAGAUUAUCACCAAUC
RNAcentral lists this long non-coding RNA (1186 nucleotides) under Pan troglodytes (chimpanzee). RNAcentral's name for it is "long non-coding RNA NONPTRT011091". The record is from RNAcentral. Lineage: Eukaryota; Metazoa; Chordata; Mammalia; Primates; Hominidae.